This 401-nucleotide ribosomal RNA is filed under the name uncultured bacterium. RNAcentral's name for it is "bacterial SSU rRNA". It matches the Rfam family "Bacterial small subunit ribosomal RNA", at positions 356 to 772 of the family's 1533-position model. The record is from RNAcentral.
AAGGAAUUUUCCGCAAUGGGCGCAAGCCUGACGGAGCAACGCCGCGUGCGGGAUGACGCCUUUCGGGGUGUAAACCGCUGUUCGUGGGGACGAAGCACUGACGGUACCCACGGAGGAAGGCCCGGCUAACUACGUGCCAGCAGCCGCGGUAAUACGUAGGGGCCGAGCGUUGUCCGGAGUUACUGGGCGUAAAGCGUGCGCAGGCGGCCUGCCGCGCCCGGCGUGAAAGCCCCCGGCUCAACCGGGGAGGGUCGUCGGGGACGGGCAGGCUUGAGGUCGGCAGGGGCUGGUGGAAUUCCCGGUGUAGUGGUGAAAUGCGUAGAGAUCGGGAGGAACACCCGUGGCGAAGGCGGCCAGCUGGGCCGGACCUGACGCUGAGGCACGAAGGCGUGGGGAGCGAA